GUGCCAGCAGCCGCGGUAAUACCGGCAGCCCGAGUGAUGGCCGAUCUUAUUGGGCCUAAAGCGUCCGUAGCUGGCUGCGCAAGUCCGUCGGGAAAUCCACUCGCCCAACGAGUGGGCGUCCGACGGAAACUGCACAGCUUGGGACCGGAAGGCUCGAAGGGUACGUUCGGGGUAGGAGUGAAAUCCCAUAAUCCCGCACGGACCACCGAUGGCGAAAGCGCCUCGGGAAGACGGACCCGACAGUGAGGGACGAAAGCUGGGAUCUCGAACCGGAUUAGAAACCCUGGUAGUCC
Molecule: ribosomal RNA, 293 nt
Filed under: uncultured bacterium
Lineage: Bacteria
Description: partial 16S ribosomal RNA
Rfam family: Archaeal small subunit ribosomal RNA
Source: RNAcentral